RNAcentral lists this unclassified non-coding RNA (1196 nucleotides) under Hevea brasiliensis (rubber tree). Lineage: Eukaryota; Viridiplantae; Streptophyta; Magnoliopsida; Malpighiales; Euphorbiaceae. The record is from RNAcentral.
GGAUGGAUGAAAAUGAUGUCCCCGGGAUGGUGGAUAGAUACACCUCUCAAGUGUAUGAGACCGUAUUUACCCAGAUAGAUGGCUAUGCUAUGCAAUAUAAUAUGACGGAGUUUGUCUCUGGGAUAAAACAUUUUGUAAUAGUUCCUGCAAAUAACACAUUUAAUCAAUCUACGGCUUUGGCAUCCCCCUCUCCUUAUGCAGAGAAACUCUUAAGCCUGAAAAGGAGGGUUAAAGAUCGUGAAUGGGCACAAAUAUAUACAGAAGUGGAUGUAAUGUUCAGGGAACUUCUGAUCACUAGAGAGGACUUGGUUGAGAAAGCCAAAGGGUUCGCUCUCCAAGGAGUAAAUGUAAUGCAACGGAUACUGGUUAGUAGCACAUCUGUCUUAGGUGGGAGCAUGAAGGUCAUGUUCUUGAUCGGGAAUUCCAUCGUUUCGGGUGCUGCUGGUCUUUUUAAUUUUGUAUCUCAGCUAAUGGUAUUCAUUUGGGUACUUUAUUAUCUCAUCACAUCGGAUUCUGGUGGAGUAACAGAACAAGUCAUGUCUAUGCUCCCUAUGUCACAUUCCGCAAGGAGGCGAAGUGUUGAGGUUCUUGACAAAGCUAUUUCUGGGGUUCUUCUAGCAACUGCUGAGAUUGCACUCUUUCAGGGGUGUCUAACUUGGCUCUUGUUCAGAUUAUUCUCCAUACAUUUUUUGUACAUGUCAACAAUCCUCGCAUUUCUUAGUCCUUUGUUUCCUAUUUUCCCAUCACUGUUUUCAACUAUCCCAGCUGCUUUACAGUUGGUGCUUGAAGGUCAAUAUGUAUUGGCCAUCAGCUUAUCAAUUAUACAUCUCGUACUUAUGGACUAUGGUACAUCCGAAAUCAUGGAGGAUAUACCUGGCUAUAACGCGUAUCUCACUGGUCUCAGCAUUAUUGGAGGAAUGACAUUGUUCCCUUCAGCAUUUGAGGGAGCAAUAAUGGGACCACUGAUAACUACUGUUGUGAUCGCGAUUAAAGAUUUGUAUGUUGAAUUUGUAUUGGAAGAACAGAAGGAAUAAGCAGAACAAAUCUGUGUUUGCAAUGCCUGAACCUUUGAAGACAUUGAGAAGAACCCCCUAUUACUUUCUUUGAUGGAAAAACAUCGCAAGAUAAAGUGAAUUCUUUUUUCUCCCAGUCAACUAUUGUUUGUAUUCUACCUGUGUUUGAGGAUUUUUUUUUUU